Molecule: long non-coding RNA, 386 nt
Filed under: Gallus gallus (chicken)
Lineage: Eukaryota; Metazoa; Chordata; Aves; Galliformes; Phasianidae
Description: long non-coding RNA NONGGAT004561
Source: RNAcentral
CUUUGUUGAGUUUUCCCUGAUUCUCUCCGCAAGGCACUGGGAAGGAGUUGGGAGUGAAUGAAUGCCUGUGUGGUGCUCAGCCACCUGAUGGGCUAAACCACAACAAUAACCUUGAGGUCAUUCUCCCAUAUGAUACCACUACAUUGACAGAUGGCAGAUGACUGUGCAUUGGCAGGAAUGGAAGGAAGUCUGGCGAAAUAGCUCACUAAUUUUAAGAGCAUGACCUCGCAGGACCAACAAAGUGAAAACAGAAGAUAGCAGCCAAAAUGUCUUCCCACGUCAAUACCUUGUAAUCAUUUUUAUUGCAUAAAACCCUCAGGUCUUUCUGGGAAUGUAAUCCAUCUGAACACAUUUCAAAUGAAUAAAUCAGAUUUCCCUGACGGCAA